This 253-nucleotide ribosomal RNA is filed under the name uncultured bacterium. RNAcentral's name for it is "partial 16S ribosomal RNA". It matches the Rfam family "Bacterial small subunit ribosomal RNA", at positions 524 to 776 of the family's 1533-position model. The record is from RNAcentral.
UACGUAGGGUGCAAGCGUUAAUCGGAAUUACUGGGCGUAAAGAGUGCGUAGGCGGCUAUGUAAGUCAGAUGUGAAAUCCCUGGGCUUAACCUAGGAACUGCAUUUGUGACUGUAUGGCUAGAGUGUGGUAGAGGGAGAUGGAAUUCCGCAUGUAGCAGUGAAAUGCGUAGAUAUGCGGAGGAACACCAAUGGCGAAGGCAAUCUCCUGGACCUGCACUGACGCUCAUGCACGAAAGCGUGGGGAGCAAACAGG